RNAcentral lists this ribosomal RNA (519 nucleotides) under uncultured eukaryote. RNAcentral describes it as "SSU rRNA". It matches the Rfam family "Eukaryotic small subunit ribosomal RNA", at positions 1161 to 1704 of the family's 1831-position model. The record is from RNAcentral.
AGGGCACCACCAGGAGUGGAGCCUGCGGCUUAAUUUGACUCAACACGGGGAAACUCACCCGGCCCGGACACCGGAAGGAUUGACAGAUUGAUAGCUCUUUCUUGAUUCGGUGGAUGGUGGUGCAUGGCCGUUCUUAGUUGGUGGAGCGAUCUGUCUGGUUAAUUCCGAUAACGAACGAGACUCUAGCCUAUUAAAUAGACGUCGGGUUCUCUGCACUCGACGGUCUUCUUAGAGGGACAAGGUGCUUUUAGCACCGCGAAACAGAGCAAUAACAGGUCUGUGAUGCCCUUAGAUGUCCGGGGCCGCACGCGCGCUACACUGAAGGAAGCAGCGUGUAACAACCUUGUUCUAACGAACUGGGUAACCCGUGGAACUUCCUUCAUGAUUGGGAUAGGGGUUUGCAAUUUUGCCCCUUGAACGAGGAAUUCCCAGUAAACACUAGUCAUCAGCUAGUGCUGAUUACGUCCCUGCCCUUUGUACACACCGCCCGUCGCUACUACCGAUUGAAUGGUUUAGUGA